RNAcentral lists this ribosomal RNA (468 nucleotides) under uncultured bacterium. RNAcentral's name for it is "partial 16S ribosomal RNA". It matches the Rfam family "Bacterial small subunit ribosomal RNA", at positions 28 to 507 of the family's 1533-position model. The record is from RNAcentral.
GACGAACGCUGGCGGCGUGCUUAACACAUGCAAGUCGAACGGAAAGGCCCUGCUUUUGUGGGGUGCUCGAGUGGCGAACGGGUGAGUAACACGCGAGUAACCUGCCCUUGACUUUGGGAUAACUUCAGGAAACUGGGGCUAAUACCGGAUAGGAGCUCCUGCUGCAUGGUGGGGGUUGGAAAGUUUCGGCGGUUGGGGAUGGACUCGCGGCUUAUCAGCUUGUUGGUGGGGUAGUGGCUUACCAAGGCUUUGACGGGUAGCCGGCCUGAGAGGGUGACCGGCCACAUUGGGACUGAGAUACGGCCCAGACUCCUACGGGAGGCAGCAGUGGGGAAUAUUGCACAAUGGGCGGAAGCCUGAUGCAGCAACGCCGCGUGCGGGAUGACGGCCUUCGGGUUGUAAACCGCUUUCGCCUGUGACGAAGCGUGAGUGACGGUAAUGGGUAAAGAAGCACCGGCUAACUAUGUG